Molecule: long non-coding RNA, 1225 nt
Organism: Fopius arisanus
Lineage: Eukaryota; Metazoa; Arthropoda; Insecta; Hymenoptera; Braconidae
Exons: 4
Source: RefSeq, a predicted model, not a curated record
AUAAAAAAUGUCCACUUGUUCAGCUUGUUAAGGCCAGACAACAAUUUGUUUGCUGUCUGGCCUUAACGAUUAACAAACGGCUAGUUAUCAGAUAUGAUAUCUAUCUCAACGUCUUCAAGUGGCAGAAAUUGGAUCUCUCAUAAUACGCGUAGAAUCAGUGACCCGACGUUUAUUAGAACACGUACCUUCAUUCUUAUUCUCCGUGCGCAAUCUCCGUUUAUUUGUAUCCCACUCUAUCAUACGGCGACUAUUAGUCUCAGUAAAGUCACUUGAAAGUGGUAUACACUGAGAAAAAAGUUUUUUGAAAAAAGCAUCUUUAUAAAGUAUACUUGUAUGAAGAAACUCAUAGUCACAAAUUUCCAAGAAAAAGAUAUCUUGCAGGUAGAGACAAAAUUUUAGUCAAAAGGUUUUGUACUUCUACGAAAGAUGACCAAUGAAUUGACAACCACAAGGCAAUUUCUCGAACCAAAUCGGUUUUACAUUGAAAUCUUUUGGAUUUUAGAGAAGAAAACGUGUGAGUAAAUUCCCUAAGCAAAAUUUUAUUUCGGAAAUGCCACUUUCACUAUGAAUAAACCAUCAUCAUCCUUGCUACAAGUACAUAAUGUUUCGAUCGAAGUUUUUCUUCUUUCCGAGUAAGAUAUGAUUUUCGAAAAAAUCUUCAUCUUACGGAUGAGUACUAAAUCCCUUAAUUACUAUUUUUUCCUGUCAGUACAAGAUAUCGCCUUGUUGGAAAUUUUUGGUUAUAGGUUUCUUCAUACAAGUAAAGAUGUAUUUUUCAGAGAAUUGUUUUUUUUUCAACUGAUUACUGAGCUAGCGAAUAUGAGUCUACAUAUGCAGAGCAUAGGAAUAACGAGCUGGGAAUGACGUUAAUAACAAGCUUAACGCCAAAAGAGGGACAACGCGCAGAGAAAACCGGAUGCUAUAAACAGUCGCUGUGCAGCACUUAUAUUCAUCUUUUUAACCGAAUGCAAUCCUGAAGGAAUUGUAACGAAUAGAGACCUAAUUUCCAACUUCCUACAAUUAAUAGAGCGAUGGGGGUAUACGAGGAAGUAACAUUGCAGCGGUGGCGACGCAAGGGACAUCUCGUUAACCUUUUCAAUUGCAAACAGAUUGUCCUGCCAAUGAAAUAUGACAGAUUUGGCUCAUAAUUAUGACGGGAAUAUAGGAAUGAAUAUAAAAACUAGGCCGAGACCUUACCAGCUCUGACGUUGACAUCUCGGCUAUG